This is a non-coding RNA of Hyaena hyaena (striped hyena), 72 nucleotides long. The record is from the annotation of a RefSeq genome assembly. NCBI's taxonomy places the organism in Eukaryota, Metazoa, Chordata, Mammalia, Carnivora, Hyaenidae.
GCCUGGGUGGCUCAGUCGGUUAAGCGUCUGACUUCUGCUCAGGUCAUGUGGGUUCGAGCCCCGUGUCGGGCU